Cannabis sativa is the source of this 4868-nucleotide long non-coding RNA. RefSeq lists it as uncharacterized. Lineage: Eukaryota; Viridiplantae; Streptophyta; Magnoliopsida; Rosales; Cannabaceae. The transcript is spliced from 2 exons. The record is from RefSeq and is a predicted model, not a curated record.
AGAAAGAGUCAUCACUUAAUGACACGUUUGGGUGCUAAGCUUAGUUGUUAAGACAGAAGUAGAGUCCCACAUCGACCAUGUAAAAGAAAUAUUUAAUGUAUUUAUAGUCCAAGCUCGGGUCUUCAGUGCACGACCUUACUUGAACAGGAUCUGUUCUAUAGGCUCGUACCUCUGUAUCCUUGACUUCUAAGGAGACAGGAAACCAAACCUGGUGGAUGAACCAUGACCGUCCGAUCAGAGCGUGAUUAACGGCUAGAUAAUCUUCGGAUCAUCACGGCUGUAGAGGAUCGUUCUCAGUUAGUUCUCUAGCUGGGGUGGUCGGUCGGUUGUCUGACAGGUUCUAAUAUCUUUUUUUUUUUUUUUUGCAUGUUUUUAUUAGUAAAUUUUCAUGAACAACAGAGGAAUUAAGAGGUUAUUGUUUUCAUUUGAUUUCUCCUUAAUAAAUAUAGUUUUAGUCUCAUCACCCCCAAGUUAAGAUAAGAUGUCUAGUAAGACCUGUAAACAACAACAAUAAUUUCCAAAUCACAUGUCUAGUGUAAGUGUGUAACUUGGUCCAAACCAUAUUACAAACUAACCAAACUUCACUAUAAUUUCCUUACUGGUCAGAUACCUUUACAAAGAAAAAAUAAAAUGAAAAAUAGUUUCUAAUCAAAUUUGUGGAAAAUAUUUUCUUUUCUUGCAUGAUUAACAAGUAUGAAAAGAAGACCUCUAUACCAGCUUCUAAGAGCAAUACCCUUUAGCCUAUUUUAAGUUCCUAUUUGAGAUUAAGAUAAUUCUGAAGCUGCAAAAAUGUUACCAAAGAAAGAAAGAGCAAUGAAUUAUAUAAAAUAUUAAACCAAUAUUAUAUUAUCAUUGAAUAAAGACAAAAUACAAAAACAAUUUUCUAUUGCAGUUAGAUUAAUAUUGUAUCCCACAUUGAUAAGCUGCAUAGAAUAAAUAGUGGUCUUUAGGCUCGUACUUCUGUUUCCUUGAUUUCUAAGGAGACAGGAAACCAACCCUGGUGAAUGAACCAUGACCGUUCGAUCAGAGCGUGAUUAAUGGCUAGAUCUUCUUCAGAAAAUUACGGCUGUAGAGGAUCGUUCAGCUAGUUCUUCUAAGCCAGGGUGGUUGAACGGUUGUCUGACAGGUUCCAAUCUUCUUACUUAUUUUUUUAGUUAAUUUUUUUCAUUAACAACUGAGGAUUUAAGAGGCUCUUCUGGUCUUAGGAUCACACAAUUCAGAGUACAACUCAUUUGGUUUCUCUUCUGUUGCUUAUUGUUGAAAUAAAUUCCUCUUUAAUGAAAUUUUCAUGAUCACCAUUAAACUGUAAUAUAUUAGCUUUGAGAAGAUCUACGCCAAUAUGGCUUUGCUUGUUGUAGUUAAGUUAGUUCAUAAAGCUCGGACUUUAAACUUCAAACUAUUUGGGGAACAAGACUUAUUUAAUAAAACGUUUAUGACCAAAGCAAGCAAUGUAUGCUUAGCUAUAUCUGGUUUCAUUUUUGCCUCGUUAAAACUAAGCAUAAUGUCUUGUGGGAUUUUCUGCCUCGAUAGGCUUUUCUUGUGCAAUUUUCAUUUCUUAAUGUAUUGAUGUUUGUGUUUGUGUUUGUGUUUAAAUGUUGUACAGAUGGAUCUGUGUACCUUCAGGAGUAGCUGUUAUCUUCAGUUUUGGUUCUUGUUAAUGCAGUAGAGUUCUGUUUGGUACUAGAGAAACAUUUAGUUGUUUUUACCUUUUGAAUUGAAGCCAAUUGAUAACACUGUUGUAAAAGCAUGAGAAUUGAAACUAUUGUUAAAAUAAAUCAAAUCAUGUUGGAACAUUAUUUAUGAUGAUUCCUUUAUAUCCCCUAAAUAAUUUCUGAAGUGUUGUGUGUUUACUAUAAUUUAAUUGGCACAAAUGAUUAUAUUCGAAUAUUUUUCACAACCAAAGAGAUUGAUAUAUAUAUAUACAUAAUAAUCCAUGGUUGCUUGCAUUUGUUUUAUGUGAAUUUAUAUACGUAGUUGUCAUAAGAUUAAUAAUCACUUAAUAAUGAGUAAUCACUUAAUCACACACAUCUGGAUGCUUAGUUGUUACUGGAGUCCCACAUCGACCAUGUAAAAGAAAUAUUUAAUGUAUUUAUAGUCCAACCUGUAGCCUUCAGUGCACGACCUUACUUGAACAGGAUCUGUUCUAUAGGCUCGUACCUCUGUUUCCUUGAGUUCUAAGGAGACAGGAAACCAAACCUGGUGGAUAAACUAUGGCCGUCCGAUCAGAGCGUGAUUAACGGUUAGAUGAUCUUUGGAUCAUCACGGCUGUAGAGGAGCGUUCUCAGCUAGUUCUCAAGCUGGGGUGGUCGGUCGGUUGUCUGACAGGUUCUAAUCUUUUGUUCUUUUUUUUUUUGGGCAUGUUUAUUAGUUAAUUUUCAUUGACAACUGAUGAUUAAGAUGUUCUUCUUCUGAUCUUAGCUGGUGUUUGAGUGUAAACUGUUAUUGCAGGUUUGUGGAAUAGAAGAGGCCAAAUUUGUGCAUGAAGAUAUGUUGGGGUCACAAUCCUCUCUUCAAGUAAAGAGAAUCCUUGAGACUUAUUCAAGUUAAGAUGUUUCUUUAAUUAAAGACUUGUGUAACAAACAACAACAAGUAAGUAUCAACAAUCCCACAAAUCCGAAUACUCUACUCUUCAUUCGAUAAUUUUUACAAAAUGGAUAGUCUAAAAUAAUAUUUGAAUGAACAAACAAAUUUAGCACAAAAUUCUACGUACCUAGAUAUUUGACUAGAACUACGUGUACAUCACUAUUAUUUUAGCAGUUGGAUGCUCAUAAAUUAUGUUAGACAAUUUCCUCCGUCUAUAUUUGACUAGAAAUACUCACAAUAAUUUAAAGUUGACUGAGAAUAAUGCUCACAUAUUAUAUAUAGAUUGAGAUUUGAGAUUGAUCUAAAGAAUAUUAUUAUUAGGGUUGUGUUGUUUUAAUAUGAAUAUGGGAAAAUCCUAUGUCAUUAAUAUGCUCUCAAUGUUAGUACUACUUAAUCUUGCUAUGAUCACUUUGCUCCCUUAUGCACAUGCACGUCACAAAUUUCCACCACCCCCACCCCCACCAAUUAGAAGUCCGAUGAACUCCCCCUCCCCCGUCAGCCCCAUCCCAAAACCGACACCGCCACCGCCACCGCCGCUACAGAAGAAGUCAGCAAGAUCAUACUCAGCUUUAUCACCACAGGGCUUCUAAGAGUAUUUUCACUUUUUUUUUAGGACUAUACUAUUGUGAAAUGAAAUUUUCUUUAAUAAAUUUCAGGCUUUGUUUUCAGUCUAUUUAAAAAAAAUAUAUAAAAUAUUAAACCAAUAUUAUAGUAUCAUUGAAUAAAGACAAAAUACAAAAACAAUUUUCUAUUGCAGUUAGAUUGAUAUUGUAUCCUACAUCGAUAAGCUGAACAGAAUAAGUAGUGUUCUUAUACUGAAGCAUGAACGGGAUCUGUUCUAUAGGCUCGUACUUCUGUUUCCUUGAUUUCUAAGGAGACAGGAAACCAACCCUGGUGGAUGAACCAUGACCGUUCGAUCAGAGUGUGAUUAAUGGCUAGAUCUUCUUCAGAAGAUUACGGCUGUAGAGGAUCGUUCUCAGCUAGUUCUUCUAGCCGGGGUGGUUGAUCGGUUGUCUGACAAGUUCCAAUCUUUUUACUUUUUUUUUUAGUUAAUCUGGUCUUAGGAGAACACAAUUCAGAGUACAACUCAUUUGGUUUCUGUUCUAUUGCUUAUUGUUGAAAUAAAUUCCUCUUUAAUGAAAUUUUCAUAAUCUAUUAGCUUUGAGAAGAUGCUGAGAAUUAUAAGAUCUACGCCAAUAUGGCUUUGCUUGUUGUAGUUAAGUUAGUUCAUAAAGCUCAGACUUUAAACUUCAAACUAUUUGGGGAGCAAGACUUAUUUAAUAAAACCUUUAUGACCAAAGCAAACAAUGUAUGCUUAGCUAUGUCUUGUGGGAUUUUCUGCCUCGAUAGGCUUUUCUUGUGCAAUUUUCAUUUCUUAAUGUAUUGUUGUUUGUGUUUAAAUAUUGUACAGAUGGAUCUGUGUACCUUCAGGACUAGCUGUUAUCUUCAGUUUUGGUUCUUGUUAAUGUAGUAGAGUUUUAGGUGUUUAAACUAUUGUUCUAAGUCUCAAUUUAGAAUGAGAAAGUCAAAUCAUUUUGGAACAUUAUAUAUGAUGAUUACUUUAUAUCGCCUAAAUAAUUUCUAAAGUGCUGUGUGUUUCUCUGUUUUCUGAUGUUAAAAUACUAUAAUUUAAUUGGCACAAAUGAUUAUAUUCGAAUAUUUUUCACAACCAAAAGAGAUUAAUAUAUAUAAUAUAUAAUAAUCCAUGGUUGCUUGCAGUUGUUUUAUGUGAAUUAAUAUACGUAAUUGUCUUAAGAUUAAACACACUUUUACAUGUUAUAUAUUUUAGUACAAAACCCAAAUAAUAAUGAGUAAUCACUUAAUCACACACAUCUGGAUGCUUAGUUGUUACUAGAGUCCCACAUCGACCAUGUAAAAGAAAUAUUUGAUGUAUUUAUAGUCCAACCUGUGGUCUUCAGUGCACGACCUUACUUGAACAGGAUCUGUUCUAUAGGCUCGUACCUCUGUUUCCUUGAGUUCUAAGGAGACAGGAAACCAAACCUGGUGGAUGAACUAUGGCCGUCCGAUCAGAGCGUGAUUAACGGUUCGAUGAUCUUUGGAUCAUCACGGCUGUAGAGGAUCGUUCUCAGCUAGUUCUCUAGCUGGGGUGGUCGGUCGGUUGUCUGACAGGUUUGUGGAAUAGAAGAGGCCAAAUUUGUCCAUCAACAUAUGUUGGGGUCACAAUCCUCUCUUCAAGUAAAGAGAAUCCUUGAGAUGUGGCUCUAUGUAUAGUUUAUAUGUUGAAGAAAAUGAGAACAUAAAGCAACAAUCUUCAACGUGGUAAA